RNAcentral lists this ribosomal RNA (231 nucleotides) under uncultured bacterium. Its description in RNAcentral is "partial 16S ribosomal RNA". It matches the Rfam family "Bacterial small subunit ribosomal RNA", at positions 15 to 236 of the family's 1533-position model. The record is from RNAcentral.
GAUCCUGGCUCAGGAUGAACGCUAGCUACAGGCUUAACACAUGCAAGUCGAGGGGGCAGCAUGGUCUUAGCUUGCUAAGGCUGAUGGCGACCGGCGCACGGGUGAGUAACGCGUAUCCAACCUGCCCACCACUUGGGGAUAACCUUGCGAAAGUAAGACUAAUACCCAAUGAUAUCCCACGAAGGCAUCCGAAUGGGAUUAAAGAUUUAUCGGUGAUGGAUGGGGAUGCGU